GUGCGGAACGCGUAUGGAACCUACCUCAAUCAGGGGGAUAGCCCAGGGAAACUUGGAUUAAUACCCCAUAGUAUUGUUUUAUUGCAUGAUAGAACAAUUAAAACUUCGGUGGAUUGAGAUGGCCACGCGUAUCAUUAGCUAGUUGGUAAGGUAACGGCUUACCAAGGCAACGAUGAUUAGGGGCCCUGAGAGGGGGAUCCCCCACACUGGUACUGAGACACGGACCAGACUCCUACGGGAGGCAGCAGUGAGGAAUAUUGGACAAUGGUCGAAAGACUGAUCCAGCCAUGCCGCGUGCAGGAUGACUGCCCUAUGGGUUGUAAACUGCUUUUGUACGAGAAGAACACCCUCUUCGUGAAGAGGACUGACGGUAUCGUACGAAUAAGGACCGGCUAACUCCGUGCCAGCAGCCGCGGUAAUACGGAGGGUCCGAGCGUUAUCCGGAAUCAUUGGGUUUAAAGGGUCCGUAGGCGGGCUAUUAAGUCAGAGGUGAAAUUGUGCAGCUCAACUGUAGAACUGCCUUUGAUACUGAUAGUCUUGAGUUAUGGUGAGGUAGCCGGAACAUGUGGUGUAGCGGUGAAAUGCAUAGAUAUCACAUAGAACGCCGAUUGCGAAGGCAGGUUACCAACCAUAUACUGACGCUGAUGGACGAAAGCGUGGGGAGCGAACGGGAUUAGAUACCCCGGUAGUCCACGCCGUAAACGAUGGAUACUAGCUGUUGGGUUUUCGGACUCAGCGGCCAAGCGAAAGUGAUAAGUAUCCCACCUGGGGAGUACGUUCGCAAGAAUGAAACUCAAAGGAAUUGACGGGGGCCCGCACAAGCGGUG
RNAcentral lists this ribosomal RNA (827 nucleotides) under uncultured marine organism. RNAcentral describes it as "SSU rRNA". It matches the Rfam family "Bacterial small subunit ribosomal RNA", at positions 106 to 934 of the family's 1533-position model. The record is from RNAcentral.